UACACAAAAAUGCACAUGCUGUGAGCUCGAUGAGUAGGGCGGGACACGUGGUAUCCUGUCUGAAUAUGGGGGGACCAUCCUCCAAGGCUAAAUACUCCUGACUGACCGAUAGUGAACCAGUACCGUGAGGGAAAGGCGAAAAGAACCCCGGCGAGGGGAGUGAAAAAGAACCUGAAACCGUGUACGUACAAGCAGUGGGAGCACAGAGCAAUCUGUGUGACUGCGUACCUUUUGUAUAAUGGGUCAGCGACUUAUAUUCUGUAGCAAGGUUAACCGAAUAGGGGAGCCGAAGGGAAACCGAGUCUUAACUGGGCGUUAAGUUGCAGGGUAUAGACCCGAAACCCGGUGAUCUAGCCAUGGGCAGGUUGAAGGUUGGGUAACACUAACUGGAGGACCGAACCGACUAAUGUUGAAAAAUUAGCGGAUGACUUGUGGCUGGGGGUGAAAGGCCAAUCAAACCGGGAGAUAGCUGGUUCUCCCCGAAAGCUAUUUAGGUAGCGCCUCGUGAAUUCAUCUCCGGGGGUAGAGCACUGUUUCGGCAAGGGGGUCAUCCCGACUUACCAACCCGAUGCAAACUGCGAAUACCGGAGAAUGUUAUCACGGGAGACACACGGCGGGUGCUAACGUCCGUCGUGAAGAGGGAAACAACCCAGACCGCCAGCUAAGGUCCCAAAGUCAUGGUUAAGUGGGAAACGAUGUGGGAAGGCCCAGACAGCCAGGAUGUUGGCUUAGAAGCAGCCAUCAUUUAAAGAAAGCGUAAUAGCUCACUGGUCGAGUCGGCCUGCGCGGAAGAUGUAACGGGGCUAAACCAUG
RNAcentral lists this ribosomal RNA (813 nucleotides) under Escherichia coli. Its description in RNAcentral is "partial 23S ribosomal RNA". It matches the Rfam family "Bacterial large subunit ribosomal RNA", at positions 376 to 1191 of the family's 2925-position model. The record is from RNAcentral. Lineage: Bacteria; Pseudomonadati; Pseudomonadota; Gammaproteobacteria; Enterobacterales; Enterobacteriaceae.